Molecule: ribosomal RNA, 199 nt
Filed under: uncultured bacterium
Lineage: Bacteria
Description: partial 16S ribosomal RNA
Rfam family: Bacterial small subunit ribosomal RNA
Source: RNAcentral
ACGCUCGACACCUACGUGGAGGCAGCAGUGGGGGAUAUUGCACAAUGGGGGAAACCCUGAUGCAGCAACGCCGCGUGAGGGAAGAAGGUUUUCGGAUUGUAAACCUCUGUCCUUGGUGACGAUAAUGACGGUAGCCAAGGAGGAAGCUCCGGCUAACUACGUGCCAACAGCCGCGGUAAUCUGAGCGGGCUGGCAAGGC